This 730-nucleotide ribosomal RNA is filed under the name uncultured Pseudomonadota bacterium. RNAcentral's name for it is "bacterial SSU rRNA". It matches the Rfam family "Bacterial small subunit ribosomal RNA", at positions 28 to 747 of the family's 1533-position model. Lineage: Bacteria; Pseudomonadati; Pseudomonadota. The record is from RNAcentral.
AUUGAACGCUGGCGGCAGGCCUAACACAUGCAAGUCGAACGGUAACAGGAAGAAGCUUGCUUCUUUGCUGACGAGUGGCGGACGGGUGAGUAAUGUCUGGGAAACUGCCUGAUGGAGGGGGAUAACUACUGGAAACGGUAGCUAAUACCGCAUAACGUCGCAAGACCAAAGAGGGGGACCUUCGGGCCUCUUGCCAUCGGAUGUGCCCAGAUGGGAUUAGCUUGUUGGUGGGGUAACGGCUCACCAAGGCGACGAUCCCUAGCUGGUCUGAGAGGAUGACCAGCCACACUGGAACUGAGACACGGCCCAGACUCCUACGGGAGGCAGCAGUGGGGAAUAUUGCACAAUGGGCGCAAGCCUGAUGCAGCCAUGCCGCGUGUAUGAAGAAGGCCUUCGGGUUGUAAAGUACUUUCAGCGGGGAGGAAGGGAGUAAAGUUAAUACCUUUGCUCAUUGACGUUACCCGCAGAAGAAGCACCGGCUAACUCCGUGCCAGCAGCCGCGGUAAUACGGAGGGUGCAAGCGUUAAUCGGAAUUACUGGGCGUAAAGCGCACGCAGGCGGUUUGUUAAGUCAGAUGUGAAAUCCCCGGGCUCAACCUGGGAACUGCAUCUGAUACUGGCAAGCUUGAGUCUCGUAGAGGGGGGUAGAAUUCCAGGUGUAGCGGUGAAAUGCGUAGAGAUCUGGAGGAAUACCGGUGGCGAAGGCGGCCCCCUGGACGAAGACUGACGCU